GACGAACGCUGGCGGCGUGCUUAACACAUGCAAGUCGAACGAUGAACCCGGAGCUUGCUCCGGUGGAUUAGUGGCGAACGGGUGAGUAACACGUGAGUAACCUGCCCUUGACUCUGGGAUAACUGCGGGAAACUGUAGCUAAUACCGGAUACGACCCUCGGCGGCAUCGCCAAGGGGUGGAAAGAAUUUCGGUCAAGGAUGGACUCGCGGCCUAUCAGCUAGUGGGUGAGGUAACGGCUCACCAAGGCGACGACGGGUAGCCGGCCUGAGAGGGUGACCGGCCAACCUGGGACUGAGACACGGCCCAGACUCCUACAGGAGGCAGCGGUUGGGAAUAUUGCACAAUGGGCGCAAGCCUGAUGCAGCAACGCCGCGUGAGGGAGGACGGCCUUCGGGUUUUAAACCUCUUUUAGUAGGGAAGAAGAGAAAGUGACGGUACCUGCAGAAAAAGCACCGGCUAACUACGUGCCAGCAGCCGCCGUAA
This 484-nucleotide ribosomal RNA is filed under the name uncultured bacterium. RNAcentral's name for it is "partial 16S ribosomal RNA". It matches the Rfam family "Bacterial small subunit ribosomal RNA", at positions 28 to 523 of the family's 1533-position model. The record is from RNAcentral.